RNAcentral lists this ribosomal RNA (433 nucleotides) under uncultured bacterium. RNAcentral describes it as "partial 16S ribosomal RNA". It matches the Rfam family "Bacterial small subunit ribosomal RNA", at positions 29 to 507 of the family's 1533-position model. The record is from RNAcentral.
AACGAACGCUGGCGGCAUGCCUAACACAUGCAAGUCGAACGAGACCUUCGGGUCUAGUGGCGCACGGGUGCGUAACGCGUGGGAACCUGCCCUUAGGUUCGGAAUAACUCCCCGAAAGGGGUGCUAAUACCGGAUAAUGUCUUCGGACCAAAGAUUUAUCGCCUUUGGAUGGGCCCGCGUUGGAUUAGCUGGUUGGUAGGGUAAAAGCCUACCAAGGCGACGAUCCAUAGCUGGUCGGAGAGGAUGAUCAGCCACACUGGGACUGAGACACGGCCCAGACUCCUACGGGAGGCAGCAGUGGGGAAUAUUGGACAAUGGGCGAAAGCCUGAUCCAGCAAUGCCGCGUGAGUGAUGAAGGCCUUAGGGUUGUAAAGCUCUUUUACCCGGGAUGAUAAUGACAGUACCGGGAGAAUAAGCGCCGGCUAACUCCGUG